Molecule: transfer RNA, 67 nt
Filed under: Exechonella vieirai
Lineage: Eukaryota; Metazoa; Bryozoa; Gymnolaemata; Cheilostomatida; Exechonellidae
Description: tRNA-Asn
Source: RNAcentral
GAGUUAAAGCUAAUUAAGCCUGCUAACUGUUAACUAGCAGUAACGAAACAAGAAAUCGUUUAACUCC